GACGAACGCUGGCGGCGUGCUUAACACAUGCGAGUCGAACGGAAAGGCUCUGCUUUUGUGGGGUGCUCGAGCGGCGAACGGGUGAGUAACACGUGGGUAACCUGCCCUUGACUUUGGGAUAACUUCAGGAAACUGGGGCUAAUACCGGAUAGGAGCUCCUGCUGCAUGGUGGGGGUUGGAAAGUUUCGGCGGUUGGGGAUGGACUCGCGGCUUAUCAGCUUGUUGGUGGGGUAGUGGCUUACCAAGGCUUUGACGGGUAGCCGGCCUGAGAGGGUGACCGGCCACAUUGGGACUGAGAUACGGCCCAGACUCCUACGGGAGGCAGCAGUGGGGAAUAUUGCACAAUGGGCGGAAGCCUGAUGCAGCAACGCCGCGUGCGGGAUGACGGCCUUCGGGUUGUAAACCGCUUUCGCCUGUGACGAAGCGUGAGUGACGGUAAUGGGUAAAGAAGCACCGGCUAACUACGUG
Molecule: ribosomal RNA, 468 nt
Filed under: uncultured bacterium
Lineage: Bacteria
Description: partial 16S ribosomal RNA
Rfam family: Bacterial small subunit ribosomal RNA
Source: RNAcentral